AGUUAGGAAAGACAGAACACACAUAUACGCAACAAGUUAUAGAAAGCAGGUUUAUUACUCACAGACAGGCAAUGAGGGACAACAGAAGCCUAGGAUUUAUCACCAGCCAGUCCUCCUCAAGGUUCAGGAAAGCUGCCUGGAGGAGAAGGAGUCUCAAAUGCACGGGCACCGCUUGCACUGCAGCCUGAGGAUCCCCAGAAAGCAGCAUCCCCACCCUCAGGUGGUAUGCUCUGGGACAAUAGGAAUGGCUGGGUUACAGCAUUAAAGUACAUUCUGUUUCUAGGGCAGCAUGACAACAGAGCCCCAACUGUCAGGCCAUUCUCCCUAUCUCAGCAUGUUACGUACCCAGCCGUUCUAGUGAUUAUUGAAAACUACAAGCAAGAAGGGUGCUGGGAGAAGGUCAGUUGGAUGCCUUCUGGAGAACUGUCCUUCCAAGGUGGAGGAGACUCUGGAGUGCACAAAGGGCUGAAGUUACCACAGCAUAAAAAUGCCAGGAGUUUAGGAGCUACUGAGCAAAUCAAAGACUGAUGCAGAAGCAAACACCUUCACAGAGCAUUUCUAUUCUGUUCUAGCCUCUGGGCAGAUCCAUCUUGCUCGCUCUUUUUAUUUCAUGCAUAUUGAUUCUAGGACUGUUUUGUAUAGAUAUCGGCUGUAUCUCCUCAUAGAAAAAAGUGAAGGCAUAUAGAUGUGCAAUUACACUAGUUUAGCAACACAGCAUGAUGUACACAGUGAAUAAAACACAUUCUUCACCGGAGGUUUGAGCUUUCAGCAAACAGCCUGCCCUAAUUUGCCCUAAUGUUCUGUCCUCUGAGCGAUGGCAGUGAUGAGCAGAUAAUGGCACAGGGGGCUCCAGCCGAGCUGAAUGGAAGCAUACUGAGUUCAAAGCACUUUUGCUUUAAAGCAAACCCCUCAUUAAGAAACAUGCAAUGCAAUAUUGACUAUGGUAAGGAUGGAGGCAAUGGCGAAUGAAGACAGCAUUGGUAAAAAUAGCACACAUUUACUCCCAGCACCAGUAUUUAAUCCAUUAUGAAGUCAUUUCUUUCCCUUUUUCUAAUUCAACAUUCCUUUUAAAAGCCUCCUCCAACGUCAUUCAAUGAAAGCAUCUGUGAUUAUCUGAGUAGCAGGCCGCAAAGCUUCAGAUGAAAAAAGUGGUUAUUCCGGCGGCAGUCCUAGGAAGCCCAGCGCCCACUGCUCUUCCAGCCAAGAGGCCACCUUUGGAUGCUGUCUGAGACCUGGUUCCUCCUGCUAUCACACUUAACCUUUAUAUGAAGUGUUCUCCUUCAUUUAACUGUGCUAUAAAAUAAGAGACUUCAAUAAAUACAGCACCUGCAC
This 1332-nucleotide long non-coding RNA is filed under the name Rhinopithecus bieti (black snub-nosed monkey). RNAcentral's name for it is "lncRNA (ENSRBIG00000045532.1)". Lineage: Eukaryota; Metazoa; Chordata; Mammalia; Primates; Cercopithecidae. The record is from RNAcentral.